CUGCCGUCGUAAGCACACCUCUAAAAGUACGAGUAUGCAACUAUGUCAAACUCAUAUACGUCAGGUCAAAGUGCAGCUAAUGAAAGGGGCGACGAUGGGUUACACCCUAAAUAAAGAUACGAAAUAUGGCACCAAAAGCCACAUGAAGGUGGACUUGGACGUAACAAAAAUACAAAAUUAAAAUGAAAACGAAUCUGAGACAUGCACACAUCGCCCGUCACUCUUGCCCAAAGGUGAGAUAAGUCGUAACAAAGUAGGUGUAACGGAAGUUGCACCUGU
This 279-nucleotide ribosomal RNA is filed under the name Aporrectodea trapezoides. RNAcentral describes it as "partial 12S ribosomal RNA". It matches the Rfam family "Bacterial small subunit ribosomal RNA", at positions 1046 to 1520 of the family's 1533-position model. Lineage: Eukaryota; Metazoa; Annelida; Clitellata; Crassiclitellata; Lumbricidae. The record is from RNAcentral.